Non-coding RNA from Trichonephila clavata, 73 nucleotides. NCBI's taxonomy places the organism in Eukaryota, Metazoa, Arthropoda, Arachnida, Araneae, Nephilidae. The record is from the annotation of a GenBank genome assembly.
GUUCCCGUAGUGCAUUGGAUACCAUGUUGGACUUCUAAUCCGAAGGUCGUGUGUUCGAAUCCCAUCGGGGAUU